UACAGAGGUCUCAAGCGUUGUUCGGAUUCAUUGGGCGUAAAGGGCGCGUAGGCGGCGGGGUAAGUCUGCUGUGAAAUCUCGGAGCUCAACUCCGAAAUUGCACUGGAUACUGCUCUGCUUGAGGGUUGGAGAGGAGAUCGGAAUUCACGGUGUAGCAGUGAAAUGCGUAGAUAUCGUGAGGAAGACCAGUGGCGAAGGCGGAUCUCUGGACAAAUCCUGACGCUGAGGCGCGAAGGCUAGGGGAGCAAACGGG
RNAcentral lists this ribosomal RNA (253 nucleotides) under uncultured bacterium. RNAcentral's name for it is "partial 16S ribosomal RNA". It matches the Rfam family "Bacterial small subunit ribosomal RNA", at positions 524 to 776 of the family's 1533-position model. The record is from RNAcentral.